This 253-nucleotide ribosomal RNA is filed under the name uncultured bacterium. Its description in RNAcentral is "partial 16S ribosomal RNA". It matches the Rfam family "Bacterial small subunit ribosomal RNA", at positions 524 to 776 of the family's 1533-position model. The record is from RNAcentral.
UGCGUAUGGUGCGAACGGUGUUCGGAAUCACUGGGCAUAAAGAGCACGUAGGCGGUUGAGCAAGUCCAUUGUGAAAUCCCCCGGCCUAACCGGGGAACUGCAGUGGAUACUACUUGACUUGAGUGCAGAAGGGGAGAGUGGAAUUCCUGGUGGAGCGGUGAAAUGCGUAGAUAUCAGGAGGAACGCCGGUGGCGAAAGCGACUCUCUGGGCUGUUACUGACGAUGAGGUGCGAAAGCUAGGGGAGCAAACGGG